CCUACGGGAGGCAGCAGUGGGGAAUUUUGGACAAUGGGCGCAAGCCUGAUCCAGCAAUGCCGCGUGAGUGAAGAAGGCCUUCGGGUUGUAAAGCUCUUUUGUCAGGGAAGAAACGGUGGUUCCUAAUACGGACUACUAAUGACGGUACCUGAAGAAUAAGCACCGGCUAACUACGUGCCAGCAGCCGCGGUAAUACGUAGGGUGCAAGCGUUAAUCGGAAUUACUGGGCGUAAAGCGUGCGCAGGCGGUUAUAUAAGUCAGAUGUGAAAUCCCCGGGCUCAACCUGGGAACUGCAUUUGAGACUGUAUGGCUAGAGUGUGUCAGAGGGGGGUAGAAUUCCACGUGUAGCAGUGAAAUGCGUAGAUAUGUGGAGGAAUACCGAUGGCGAAGGCAGCCCCCUGGGAUAACACUGACGCUCAUGCACGAAAGCGUGGGGAGCAAACAGGAUUAGAUACCCUGGUAGUCCACGCCCUAAACGAUGUCUACUAGUUGUCGGGACUUAAUUGUCUUGGUAACGCAGCUAACGCGUGAAGUAGACCGCCUGGGGAUACGGUCGCAAGAUUAAAACUUAAAGAUUAGACGCGNGNGAGAGACGACGACGACGACGACGGAGGAGGAGG
This 620-nucleotide ribosomal RNA is filed under the name uncultured bacterium. RNAcentral describes it as "bacterial SSU rRNA". It matches the Rfam family "Bacterial small subunit ribosomal RNA", at positions 338 to 956 of the family's 1533-position model. The record is from RNAcentral.